This 8416-nucleotide long non-coding RNA is filed under the name Citrus x clementina. RNAcentral's name for it is "Citrus clementina (C. clementina) long non-coding RNA (CCLE_LNC006589)". The record is from RNAcentral. Lineage: Eukaryota; Viridiplantae; Streptophyta; Magnoliopsida; Sapindales; Rutaceae.
GAUUCUAAGAUAAUCGAGUACACACUUAACUCUUAUCUCUUUCAUGUCUCUACCUUUUCUUCAUUAUCUCUUUCGUGUCUUCGCCUUUUUUUCAUUUUGUAUCUACAAUUACUUAAAUCAUGCGUCUAAUAAUACAAUUUGUGUGGUUAAUUAGACUUCCGUAGGGAGGAUAUUAAUAAAUUUAAUUUGAGUGAAUAAUCAUUAUUUCAAUCUUUUAUAUUUCUCAAAUAAAGCAACUGUCAUAGAGCAGUCAGUUUUAAUGAGUCAUACUCAAGAUUUUAUCCUUUAAAGAAGUCUUAUCUAGUAGCCAAUUUUAAUUAAUAUCCUCCGUGGAGAGCUUAUUUAAUUUGAGGCGAGAUAUUAAUCUACUUUACUAUAGAACCAAUAAUGGAGGUUGUGGGCUUUAUGCCUAGAACCCUUUGCCACUCAACUUUUUGUUAGAGAUUUCUUUUAAUAUUCUCAAUUGAUUAUUUAAUUGACAUUCCACCAAUUAAUAUUUAAUUUUAUAAAAAAAUAAAAUAAUUAAUUAGGUUAGGUGAAUAUUAUAAUCAAUUUAAUAUUAGAUCAUGAUAUUAAUCUUAUUCUAAUCUCGUUAGACUAUUAAUAUCAAAAUUUAUGUAUAUGCAGGAACAUGUGAAUGUGGCACCCUCUUAAUCUGAAUGACAUGUUGUUCAUCCACUCAAUUAAUCGAAUAAGUAAACAACUUAGAAAAAAUCACAUUAACUUUAUGUCUAAUUUUCAUUGGGCUUCCUGUUAAUGUUCUUUUUUUCAAAUACUUGAUUAAUGAGCUAGGACUGCUUGGGUUUUAAAAUUUAUUAUUGUUCCAUUUAAUUUUAUUUUAAAAUAGCAGAACCAUAAUUUUGAAAUAACUUUGAAUAAAAUUUUUGGACCAAAAUAAAAUUUAAUAUGUUAAACUUUAAAUAUGUGUUUUAAUCCACCAAGCUCAAUUUAUAACGGACCUAAAUCUAGCAUUCGUUAAGCUUAAAAGGGGUUUAAGACUUAAAUGCAAGUCUCCUUCACCAUUCUGCCCAAAAAGCAAAUUAUUUUGAAAUUCAGGGACCAUAGUGAUAGAAAUCACCAAAUCCCAUGUCCAGCCUUUUCUUUUUCAGCCGCCGACAUCAAAACCAGCCACCAUGUGCAAAAUUCGCUGUCCAGCCGGAGCUUUGCCGUGGUCCAGCCACGCUCCUCGUCGCUGGAAGCAACCCGUGAAGCCACUGAGCUGCCUAAGGCAGCCGUAACUCUCGCGCACCGCAGCGGCUACACGCCACCAUCCCGUGACAAAACACAGCCCUCGCCGGAGCUUGAUAAGAAGCUACGCAGAACUAAUCGUGUAGCCAAGCCCAACAGCAAGUACUUGGAAUAUGCAUGGGCACGUCAUUAGCCAUGCAACCUUUGAGAUGAUGAUUUGGAGCUGACUUCUUCAAAUUAACCGUUGCUUAUUUGGAGGAGAUCUUUCAUGCAAGUAUUUGUUUUGGAAUAAUAGUCAGGUUGUUGAGAUGUUGUUAACGACUUGAUUUAGCUAGCUUUGUUCAAGCCUUGUUUCACUGCUAAGGAAAUUAAUUUUGUAUUAGACUAUAAAUAAGCUCUUUUAUUCAAUAAUAAGAUCAUCAGAUUUUUAUUCCAAAAACAUUAUUUGAGGUAGUUCUCGCCCAAAGAAGAACAAGCAAUUUACUUUGUCAAUUCUGCUAGCUUUGACUGGGACCUCUAUUAGUGGUAUCAGAGCUAGGUUAGGAUGGCAACCAACAAAGAGCGUAUCGAGCGAAUAGAAACAGAGGUCGGAGAUAUACAAGACAAGAUGCAACGGAUGGAGUUGGGGAUCAAUGACAAAUUGGCACACAUUGAGGCAACAUUAAGCAAGCUUGCGGACUCAAUUAAUACUUCAAGAGGGUCGCCAAGUAUCAACAACAAUAAUGCAUCUUCACGACUGGGCCGAGAAGUCAGUACAGGAGGGCCUCAACAUUUCCAAUCCAAGGUAGCAAAACUAGAAUUCCCUCGCUAUUCGGGCGACAACCCCACCGAAUGGUUCAAUCGUGCAAGUCAGUUCUUCGAAUACCAGGAAUCAACAGACGAUCAGAAAGUGGUUCUAGUGUCAUUCCACUUGGAGGGGGAAGCAAAUCAGUGGUGGCAGUGGCUUCGAAGGUCUUAUCAAGAUGAAGGCAAAGUCGUGACUUGGGAGGUGUUUGUGGAGGAGUUAUGGGCAAGGUUUGGACCGACAGACUGUGAAGAUUUCGACGAGGCUCUCUCACGUGUUAAACAAACCAGUACUCUCUGUGACUACCAGAAGGAAUUUGAACGACUCGGAAACCGUGUUCAAGGCUGGACACAGAAGGCACUUGUUGGCACAUUCAUGGGAGGGCUUAAACCAGAGAUAUCUGAAGAAAUUCGGCUGUUUCGACCGAGGACUCUCAAGGAAGCAAUCAGCUUGGCAAGAAUGAGAGAUGAGCAAAUGACCCGACAACGGAGACUGUUGAGAUCACCAAUCUUCAAUCGUUCACCAACGGCUCAAGUCACCAACCAACGUGCUUCACUAACAGUACCCUUUAAGAGACUUUCUUGGGAGGAGAUGCAAAAACGCAGGUCACAAGGAUUAUGUUUUAACUGUAAUGAAAAAUUCUCUGCAGGUCAUAAGUGCAUAAAGGCGCAGUUGUUAAUCUUAGAAGCGGGUGAUAACGAAGAGUCCACAGAAACAAUGCAACAUGAGUAUGAGACAGAAGAGCACGACAAACCUAAAAUAACAUUUUAUGCUUUGGCGGGUUGGGCUGCUCCUCAGACAAUGUGAGUGAAAGCUAAGAUUGGGCCACACGAGAUCAUUGUACUAGUGGACAGCGGCUCAACGCACAAUUUUAUCUACUCGCGUUUGGCUAAUAUGCUUCAGCUCCCAGUUCAACCGACAUCAGCAUUUCCAUUAAAAGUGGCCAACGGAGAGAAAGUUAUUUGCCAGGGGAAACAUGACAAGGUACAUGUUUUAAUUCAGGACAUCCCUUUUGAACUUACUCUCUACUCAUUGCCGAUUACAGGACUCGACGUGGUGCUUGGUGUCCAAUGGCUUGAAAGCUUAAGGUCGGUGGUUUGUAAUUGGAAACAAUUGACAAUGGACUUCGAUUGGGAUAAUGCUAAGCGAAGGUUGCAAGGGCUGGAUCCACAAACAAUUCAAGCUACAACAUUAUCUGAAGUCACCAAAGAUAUGAAACAAGGGCACAACAUGUUUGCUAUAUGUCUCUAUUUAAACAAUGAGGAAUCAUAUGCAGUAGCACCGGCCAGCAUGAGGAGUUUGCUAGAAGAAUAUUCCGAGCUGUUCAUGGAGCCCAAACAACUCCCACCAACACGGGAAAUCGACCACCAAAUCACUCUUAAAGAAGGAACAGAACCAAUUAAUGUGAGACCCUACUGGUACGCUUAUUUCCAAAAAGCGGAGAUUGAGAGACAAGUGAACGAAAUGUUAUCUUCCAGACUCAUUCGACCAAGCACCAGCCCCUUCUCAUCACCGGUACUCCUAGUAAAAAAAAAAUAGCAGUUGGAGGUUUUGUACGGACUACAGAGCACUCAACGAGGCCACAGUAAAAGACAGAUUUCCAAUACCAACAGUAGAAGACAUGUUAGAUGAAUUGCACGGUGCAACAUUCUUCACCAAACUAGACCUCAGAGCCGGCUACCAUCAGGUACGGCUAAACUCAUCAGAUAUAUAUAAGACGACUUUUCGCACACACAAUGGCCAUUAUGAAUAUAUGGUCAUGCCAUUCGGCUUAUGCAAUGCUCCCUCUACUUUUCAAGCAAUUAUGAAUGCUAUUUUUCGGCCCCAUCUUCGAAAAUUUAUAUUGGUAUUUUUUGACGACAUCUUGAUUUAUAGUCCCACAUGGGAAUGUCAUUUGAAACACGUUAGACAAACCUUGGAAAUUCUUAAACAGCAGUAAUUUUUCGUCAAGGCUAGCAAGUGCAAUUUUGGCCAGCAAGAACUUGAAUAUUUGGGACACAUCGUCACUUGCCAUGGUGUGAAGGUGGAUGAACGGAAAAUUGCAGCAAUGGUGUCAUGGCCAAAGCCACGGAAUAUUACAGAGCUAAGGGGAUUUUUAGGCCUAACAGGGUAUUAUCGCAAGUUCGUUUGUGGGUAUGGCCUGUUAGCCCGGCCCCUAACCAAUCUUCUUAAGAAAGGACAAUUUAGGUGGAAUACUGAAGCUGUAGCAGCAUUUGAGCAUUUGAAACUUGCCAUGACUCAAACUCCAGUACUUUCUAUGCCUAAUUUUACCGAUGUUUUUGUUAUUGAAACUGAUGCAUCCGGUGAUGGCAUAGGAGCAGUACUGCAGCAAAACGGCAAACCAAUAGCUUACAUGAGUCGAGCGUUGGGUAUAACAAAAAAGAUUUGGUUGACAUAUGCAAAAGAGAUGUUGGCAGUGGUAGAGGCGGUCAGAUUUUGGAGGCCUUAUUUAUUGGGGCAACGAUUUGUGAUACAAACAGAUAAAAAAAGCUUAAAAUAUCUCUUGGAGCAGAAGAUAGCAACUCCUGAUCAACAGCAAUGGAUGGUCAAACUCAUGGGUUACGAUUACGAAAUCCGAUACCGCCCCGGCAAGGAAAAUGCUGCUGCCGAUGCACUCUCUAGAAGAACUGACAGCCCAACUCUUAAUCAUCUUUUUGUACCGCAGGUGUCACUAUGGGGAGAAAUUAAAAAGGCUAUGCAUGAAGAUGAUUAUCUAAAGAAGAUUGCACAACAAGCUGAGACUCAACCCGACGGCCCUUACACGGCAAAAAACGGCCUCAUAUUCUUCAAAGGCAGGGUAGUAGUUCCACGGAAGAUGCGUGACUUAUUAUUAUUUGUGGCCCACAAUACGAAAAUAGGAGGGCAUUCCGGAGUCCUUCGCACUUACAAACGCCUGGCGCAGCAAUUUUACUGGCCCUCAAUGUUUCAAUCCGUUCAUGAUUAUGUAAGUAAGUGCGUUGUUUGCCAGAAGACUAAGAGUGAAACGCUGCAACCAGCAGGGCUUCUUCAACCAUUGCAUGUUCCUUGCCAAGUCUGGGAGGAUAUUUCUUUAGAUUUUAUUGAAGGGCUGCCUAAUUCACAAGGAAGAGAUACAAUAUUUGUGAUAGUCGACAGGCUCAGUAAAUUUGCACACUUCCUUUCCUUGUCUCACCCAUUUACUGCUAAAUCUAUUGCUGAAAGAUUUGUUGACGGAGUAGUAAAACUACAUGGCAUGCCCAAGAGUAUUGUAAGUGAUCGGGAUCCAAUAUUUAUUAGCAAAUUUUGGAGUGAAUUUUUUACACUGUCAGGCACACACUUGAAGAUGAGUUCAGCCUAUCAUCCGCAAACGGACGGCCAAACAGAGGUUGUUAACAGAUGUCUGGAGCAAUAUUUACGCUGCUUUGUGCACCAGUGGCCAUGCAAGUGGAACAUGUAUCUGUCGUGGGCUGAGUUUUGGUACAAUACCACUUUUCAUGUAUCCACCGGAAUGACUCCUUUUCAAGCUCUCUAUGUGGCCACGCAAGUGGAACAUGUAUCUGUCGUGGGCUGAGUUUUGGUACAAUACCACUUUUCAUGUAUCCACCGGAAUGACUCCUUUUCAAGCUCUCUAUGGCCGGCCUCUACCUUCUAUCCCCAUGUAUUCGAUCGGGUCUUCCCCGGUUCACGAAGUUGAUCACGCCUUACAGACCAGAGAUGAGUUAUUGUGGCAACUAAAAUCUAACCUUAUUGCAGCGGCUAAUCGAAUGAAACAGACGGCAGACAAGAAAAGGAGGGAUGUCGAAUUCAAAGAAGGAGACAUGGUGUACUUGCGCUUGCAUCCCUACCGGUAAUCUUCAGUUUUUAAACGUGCACAUCAAAAAUUAUGCAGCAGGUAUUUUGGACCAUAUCAAAUAAUUCAAAAAGUGGGGCAUGUAGCUUAUAAGCUCCAGUUGCCAGAGGGUGCCAAGGUCCAUUCUACAUUUCAUGUUUCAGUACUAAAAAAAGCAAUGGGAGAUUCGACAGUGAGCAGCACGGAGUUACCUCCUACAGAUGAUGAAGGUGUGCUGGAUUUGGAACCUAAAUUAGUUCUGGACACUCGGUGGCUUAAAAGAGGUGGUAAUGUUAUUGAGCAAAGUCUGAUUCAAUGGAACAAUCUACCAAUGGAAGAGGCCACUUGGGAAGAUACUACCGUCAUUAAGCAACAGUUUCCUUCGCUGACCUUGAGGACAAGGGUCCUCUUCCACGGGGGAGUGAUGAUAAGAAGCUACGCAGAACUAAUCGUGUAGCCAAGCCCAACAACAAGUACAUGGAAUAUGCAUGGGCACGUCAUUAGCCAUGCAACCUUUGAGAUGAUGAUUUGGAGUUGACUUCUUCAAAUUAUUCGUUGCUAGGAAUAUGCAUGGGCACGUCAUUAGCCAUGCAACCUUUGAGAUGAUGAUUUGGAGUUGACUUCUUCAAAUUAUUCGUUGCUAAGAAUAUGCAUGGGCACGUCAUUAGCCAUGAAACGUUUGAGGUGAUGAUCUAGAGCUAACUUCUUCAAAUUAACCGUUGCUUAUUUGGAGGAGAUCUUUCAUGCAAGUAUUUGUUUUGGAAUAAUAGUCAGGUUGUUGGGAUGUUGUUAACGAAUUGAUUUAGCUACCUAUGUUCAAGCCUUGUUUCACAGCUAAGGAAAUUGGUUUUGUAUUAGACUAUAAAUAAGCUCUUUUAUUCAAUAAUAAGAUCAUCAGAUUUUUAUUCCAAAAACAUUAUUUGAGGUAGUUCUCGCCCAAAGAAGAACAAGCAAUUUACUUUGUCAAUUCUACUAGUUUUGACUAGGACCUCUAUUAGAGCUUUACAUUGCCGUCCUCACACGGUGCACCACAUCAUCCAUCACUGCCAGCAGCUCAAGCCACCAGCCCGCGAGCAGACGCGCGAGAGAGCCAGUCAUCAGUGUCACCACUCCCGAGCACAAAUUGCUCCACUGCCGCACACAAUUUUCGCUGCUGGCUAUCCGUGGUAACGCCGGCGACAUUGCGGCUCUGUGCAUAUGUUGACUUUGUUGUUCUUGUUCUAGGUUUUUAAAUAUUAAUUUUUUUUAUUAAGUAGAAACAGAAUUAAAACCCAAAACUGAACAAGAACCAAUACGAGCAUUAACCAUGGAACAGAGCAAACUACAAGUUAUAAUUGAAUAUAAAUAACAGCAUAAAGAUUAAUGCGGCACCACAAUCUAUUACAAUCAUACAUAAAAUUAAAUGAUACAUGUAUGAUGAAUUAGGAUGGUUAUGAUAUGAUCUUAGAAAAAUAAUUUUUUUAUUUUAUAAAAUAAGCAGAAGCCAGGAAUUUUUCUUAAUUAUGUGUACAUUUGUAGGAUAAGAGAAAUACCUUAGAUUUCUGCUGAAGAACUAAAGAAGAAGAUUGCAAUCUUCUCUCCUAUACUCAAUUUGUUUGCAAUCUUCUCUAUUAUAUUGAAUUAUCUCCCUCACACGUGUGGGUGUAUAAAAAAUCGUAAUUUGUGUGCCGAACAUGGAAAUCUUAGAACUGUAUUUUUCUUAAUUAAAAAGGUUAUACUUUUAUUCUGAAUUCAACUUUUUUAUAUAGAGUUAGUUUGAUUAGAAAUUGAGUUAGUAAAGGGACUGCAGAGCGAAACUUAAUAGUCAAGGGCUAGUCAGCUCAUGACAAACCGAAACUACUAAGUUAAUCUUAAACUAUUCCAUUAAAAGCUUAAAAUUGCACUCUACAAACUCAUGUAAUUAAAUAAAAACUCAACUAAUUAAAACUCCUUUUAAUUAAUUUUAGUUUUAGUCUUUAAACCAAUAAUAGCCACUUAAUUAACCCUCUAUAUGAUACUUAUAAUUAAAGUUAGGACGUUAAUAAAUGUCGUGCCUCCAUUAAUUACAUAUUUACCCCUAACUCACUAUUUGUUCUAAUGAUCACUUUUAAUAUAUCUAUAUUUUUAAAUAAAUUUAUAAAUCAAAAUUAUUAUUCAACAAACAAUUUAUUGAAUAAACUACAGCCACAUAUUUAAAUGAUCAAGUAUCACAAACAGUUUAGGUGAGUAUCAAUAAUAUAGAUUCCAUCUUGUAAGUAUAUGUUCUUACGAUCCAAGAAAUUACAUUUCCAAGCUAUUGAGUUUUUGACUGUUUAUAUGGAUAUCACUCUGUGAUAACUCAAAAGAUAUGACACAUGAAUGCAAGUUCAUUACCGACUCAGGGUUAAGGUCGAUUAAACUUAUUAAAGCUUUUGUAAAUUAUGGUCAACGACAUUUGUUAAAUUAGAUUAUAAUUCACUAUAGUCUGGUUCAAUAUGCACAUUGCAUAUACAUAUUAACUAUUCUACUAAAAGUCUCCACUUCAGUGAUCAAGAUAAAAUCACUCAUAUAGAAGUAGAAAAGUUACAGCAUUACAUAAUCAUAUGCCCAUUUCAUUAAUAGCUGUGAACAAUAUUUUAUUUAUAAAGAACCUAUGAUAUAUAUCUUCUAGUAUUGACAUUAUAUGCCAAUGCAUAAAU